This is a long non-coding RNA of Asterias rubens (European starfish), 410 nucleotides long. RefSeq lists it as uncharacterized. Lineage: Eukaryota; Metazoa; Echinodermata; Asteroidea; Forcipulatida; Asteriidae. The record is from RefSeq and is a predicted model, not a curated record. The transcript is spliced from 3 exons.
UGUUUCUUUGAUAGAGUUGGCUGCUGCCUGCACAGAUGAUGGAAGUCUAUCAACUUGUCCAGAAAUUCACUGCAGGCUAUCCAUCUGACUGUACAGGUUGUGCUAUCAAUAUCAAGAAACUAAAUGCUUCACUACAAACACUGUAGGUCAACCAUGUGAUAGCAACUACAUGUAGUAUAAUUCAGUGGAUUUGGCUGCUGCCUUCACGGAAUAUGAUGAAAGCCUAACAACUUGGAACAUGUCUAGAAACUCACAGGUCAUCCAUGUGUCUGCAACUAUCUUCAUUGGGUUAUCCAUGUGACAGCUUAGUUAUCAUCUACACUCCAACCAUGGCAGCUCAUCCAUUUGUAUACUGACUACUUCACUCCAACCACUGUAGGUCAUCUAUGUGACGGCAACUAUUAUCUUCA